UGCCUUAUGAAUUUAUAUAAGGUUAAACCUGCUCACUGAAUAUUUAAAGAGCCGCAGUACCUUGACUGUGCUAAGGUAGCAUAAUAAAUUGACUUUUAAUUGGGGCCUUGAAUGAAAGGAUAAUUGGGUAAUUUCUGUCUUAUUUUAAUUUAAUUAAACUUACUUAAAAGGUGAAAAUUCCUUUAAAUAGAUAAUAGACGAGAAGACCCUAGGAGUUUAUAAUAUUUUGUUGGGGCGACAAUGUAACACAUAUAAACUUACAUUUAAAAUUUAAAAUUUAACGAGUUAACUAAUUAAAAUUAAACUACCCUAGGGAUAACAGCAUAAUUAUAAUUUUAGUUUGUGACCUCGAUGUUGGACUAGGGACUUUUAAAGCUAACAGCGUUAAUUGGCAGUUCUGUUCGAACUUUGUUACCUACA
This 420-nucleotide ribosomal RNA is filed under the name Sophina discoidalis. RNAcentral describes it as "partial large subunit ribosomal RNA". It matches the Rfam family "Bacterial large subunit ribosomal RNA", at positions 1832 to 2600 of the family's 2925-position model. The record is from RNAcentral. Lineage: Eukaryota; Metazoa; Mollusca; Gastropoda; Stylommatophora; Helicarionidae.